RNAcentral lists this ribosomal RNA (465 nucleotides) under uncultured bacterium. Its description in RNAcentral is "partial 16S ribosomal RNA". It matches the Rfam family "Bacterial small subunit ribosomal RNA", at positions 28 to 507 of the family's 1533-position model. The record is from RNAcentral.
GACGAACGCUGGCGGCGUGCUUAACACAUGCAAGUCGAACGGAAAGGCCCCUUUGGGGGUACUCGAGUGGCGAACGGGUGAGUAACACGUGAGUAACCUGCCCUUGACUUCGGGAUAACUUCAGGAAACUGGGGCUAAUACCGGAUAGGAAUCCUUGCUGCAUGGUGGGGGUUGGAAAGCUUCUGCGGUUUUGGAUGGACUCGCGGCUUAUCAGCUUGUUGGUGGGGUAGUGGCUUACCAAGGCUUUGACGGGUAGCCGGCCUGAGAGGGCGACCGGCCACAUUGGGACUGAGAUACGGCCCAGACGCCUACGGGAGGCAGAAGGGGGGAAUAUUGCACAAGGGGCGGAAGCCUGAUGCAGCAACGCCGCGUGCGGGAUGACGGCCUUCGGGUUGUAAACCGCUUUCAGCAGGGGCGAAGCUUGUGGUGACGGUACCUGCAGAAGAAGCACCGGCUAACUACGUG